UCGAUUCCCUUAGUAGCGGCGAGCGAAACGGGAAGAGCCCAAACCAACAAGCUUGCUUGUUGGGGUUGUAGGACACUCUAUACGGAGUUACAAAGGACGACAUUAGACGAAUCAUCUGGAAAGAUGAAUCAAAGAAGGUAAUAAUCCUGUAGUCGAAAAUGUUGUCUCUCUUGAGUGGAUCCUGAGUACGACGGAGCACGUGAAAUUCCGUCGGAAUCUGGGAGGACCAUCUCCUAAGGCUAAAUACUCUCUAGUGACCGAUAGUGAACCAGUACCGUGAGGGAAAGGUGAAAAGCACCCCGGAAGGGGAGUGAAAUAGAACCUGAAACCGUGUGCUUACAAGUAGUCAGAGCCCGUUAAUGGGUGAUGGCGUGCCUUUUGUAGAAUGAACCGGCGAGUUACGAUUUGAUGCAAGGUUAAGCAGUAAAUGUGGAGCCGUAGCGAAAGCGAGUCUGAAUAGGGCGUUUAGUAUUUGGUCGUAGACCCGAAACCAGGUGAUCUACCCUUGGUCAGGUUGAAGUUCAGGUAACACUGAAUGGAGGACCGAACCGACUUACGUUGAAAAGUGAGCGGAUGAACUGAGGGUAGCGGAGAAAUUCCAAUCGAACCUGGAGAUAGCUGGUUCUCUCCGAAAUAGCUUUAGGGCUAGCCUCAAGUGAUGAUUAUUGGAGGUAGAGCACUGUUUGGACGAGGGGCCCCUCUCGGGUUACCGAAUUCAGACAAACUCCGAAUGCCAAUUAAUUUAACUUGGGAGUCAGAACAUGGGUGAUAAGGUCCGUGUUCGAAAGGGAAACAGCCCAGACCACCAGCUAAGGUCCCAAAAUAUAUGUUAAGUGGAAAAGGAUGUGGCGUUGCCCAGACAACUAGGAUGUUGGCUUAGAAGCAGCCAUCAUUUAAAGAGUGCGUAAUAGCUCACUAGUCGAGUGACACUGCGCCGAAAAUGUACCGGGGCUAAACAUAUUACCGAAGCUGUGGAUUGUCCUUUGGACAAUGGUAGGAGAGCGUUCUAAGGGCGUUGAAGCAUGAUCGUAAGGACAUGUGGAGCGCUUAGAAGUGAGAAUGCCGGUGUGAGUAGCGAAAGACGGGUGAGAAUCCCGUCCACCGAUUGACUAAGGUUUCCAGAGGAAGGCUCGUCCGCUCUGGGUUAGUCGGGUCCUAAGCUGAGGCCGACAGGCGUAGGCGAUGGAUAACAGGUUGAUAUUCCUGUACCACCUAUAAUCGUUUUAAUCGAUGGGGGGACGCAGUAGGAUAGGCGAAGCGUGCGAUUGGAUUGCACGUCUAAGCAGUAAGGCUGAGUAUUAGGCAAAUCCGGUACUCGUUAAGGCUGAGCU
RNAcentral lists this ribosomal RNA (1331 nucleotides) under Staphylococcus aureus. RNAcentral describes it as "bacterial LSU rRNA". It matches the Rfam family "Bacterial large subunit ribosomal RNA", at positions 231 to 1562 of the family's 2925-position model. Lineage: Bacteria; Bacillati; Bacillota; Bacilli; Caryophanales; Staphylococcaceae. The record is from RNAcentral.